RNAcentral lists this ribosomal RNA (460 nucleotides) under uncultured bacterium. RNAcentral's name for it is "partial 16S ribosomal RNA". It matches the Rfam family "Bacterial small subunit ribosomal RNA", at positions 338 to 795 of the family's 1533-position model. The record is from RNAcentral.
UCUACGGGAGGCAGCAGUGAGGAAUAUUGGUCAAUGGACGAGCGUCUGAACCAGCCAAGUAGCGUGAAGGAUGACUGCCCUAUGGGUUGUAAACUUCUUUUAUAUGGGAAUAAAAUGUUCCACGUGUGGGCUUUUGUAUGUACCCUAUGAAUAAGGAUCGGCUAACUCCGUGCCAUCCGCCGCGGUAAUAAGGAGGAUCCGAGCGUUAUCCGGAUUUGUUGGGUUUAAAGGGAGCGUAGUGGGGUGUGUAAGUCAGUUGUGAAAGUUUGCGGCUCAACCGUAAAAUUGCAGUUGAAACUGGCAGUCUUGAGUACAGUAGAGGUGGGCGGAAGUCGUGGUGUAGCGGUGAAAUGCUUAGAUAUCACGAAGAACUCCGAGUGCGAAGGCAGCUCACUGGACUGCAACUGACACUGAGGCUCGAAAGUGUGGGUAUCAAACAGGAGUAGAUACCCCGGUAGUC